This 208-nucleotide ribosomal RNA is filed under the name uncultured bacterium. RNAcentral describes it as "partial 16S ribosomal RNA". It matches the Rfam family "Bacterial small subunit ribosomal RNA", at positions 568 to 775 of the family's 1533-position model. The record is from RNAcentral.
CGCGUAGGCGGCCUUGCGUGUCUUCCGUGAAAUCCCUCGGCUCAACUGAGGACGUGCGGAAGAAACUGCGAGGCUCGAGUCCGGGAGAGGAGGGUGGAAUUCCCAGUGUAGCGGUGAAAUGCGUAGAUAUUGGGAGGAACACCGGUGGCGAAGGCGGCCCUCUGGACCGGUACUGACGCUGAUGCGCGAAAGCGUGGGGAGCAAACGG